RNAcentral lists this ribosomal RNA (497 nucleotides) under uncultured bacterium. Its description in RNAcentral is "partial 16S ribosomal RNA". It matches the Rfam family "Bacterial small subunit ribosomal RNA", at positions 28 to 507 of the family's 1533-position model. The record is from RNAcentral.
GAUGAACGCUGGCGGCGUGCCUAAUACAUGCAAGUCGAGCGAACAGACGAGGAGCUUGCUCCUCUGACGUUAGCGGCGGACGGGUGAGUAACACGUGGAUAACCUACCUAUAAUACUGGGAUAACUUCGGGAAACCGGAGCUAAUACCGGAGAAUAUAUUGAACCGCAUGGUUCAAUAGUGAAAGACGGUUUUGCUGUCUCUUAUAGCUGGAUCCGCGCCGCAUUAGCUUGUUGGUAAGGUAACGGCUUACCAAGGCGACGAUGCGUAGCCGACCUGAGAGGGUGAUCGGCCACACUGGAACUGAGACACGGUCCAGACUCCUACGGGAGGCAGCAGUAGGGAAUCUUCCGCAAUGGGCGAAAGCUUGACGGAGCAACGCCGCGUGAGUGAUGAAGGUCUUCGGAUCGUAAAACUCUGUUAUUAGGGAAGAACAAAUGUGUAAGUAAAUAUGGACGUCUUGACGGUACCUAAUCAGAAAGCCACGGCUAACUACGUG